This is an RNA transcript of Zalophus californianus (California sea lion), 1061 nucleotides long. It is a transcript of the gene named tRNA wybutosine-synthesizing protein 2 homolog, with no coding region annotated. The transcript is spliced from 6 exons. The record is from RefSeq and is a predicted model, not a curated record. Lineage: Eukaryota; Metazoa; Chordata; Mammalia; Carnivora; Otariidae.
AGUCAUUCGCUAACAACCUUGGCUCUUUCAUUUUAGUUCCGCCCUGUUGGGGAAGGGAAGUGCGUGGUCCCGCCCCAGCAGCGUGCCUGUUUGUAAAAGCUGGAGUGUACCAAGCAAUAUGAGAGAGAGUCGCGGCAGUCUAGGGAAUGAGAGAAUGCGGAGCGCUCAAAUUCAAGUCGUCACCAUAGCCGAGGAGAUGGGGAGGUAUAAAUGAAGCAAGCAAAGACAUUCAGGAUUGUGAGAGCACAGAGGCUUGGCCGUAGAAGGUCAAACUUCCAAGGCUGUGAAUCCAGAAGGUUCCCGAUUGUUCACCUGCUCAAGGGCUGCCUUAUGAGAUACAUUGCUUGGUAGCAGGCCAGGGAGUUAGUUGGUCAGCUGAAUUGGAGGAAGAUUUUCCUUGUUCUUGGCAAUGGCAUGGUGACCUCUUGCUACUGAAUGAGGACUGCUUCCAAACCAAGCAUUGGGGAAAACUGGAACCAGAACUCUGGGAGACUGUUGCAGUGACACGUGGAAUCCAGGGUUUAGCAAAACGAAGGUGGAUAUCACUGUACCACACUUACACUCCAACAGUGUGCUGCUGGGUGAACAUGGCUGGACAGAACAUGUGGAUAAUGGACCCAGUCUAGGAUACCACAUUACAUUGUUGUCAUGUCUCCUUUGGCUUCUGUUGACUGUGGCAGUUUCGCAGAAUUUCUUUGUUUUGAUGACCUUGACGGUAUUGAGGAGUACCGCUCAGGAAUCUUUUUGAUGUGACCCAGUGUGUUCCUUUGAGAUCAUCGCCAAGAUGCUGCAAGUGGCAUCACUGCCGCGUACUGGAGAAGCAUGUGAGCGUCUGUAUGCAGAUGACAGUUCUAGGGACCUUUGGCUUUAAGUAGCUAUCUCUUCCCCAGACCCAUAUUCAGGUUCAAUCUACUCAUCAAUCUUUUUCUUCAAGACCAUAAAAAAAUCAGUGCUGGGUAUUAAGGAGGGCAUGUACUGCAUGGAGCACUGGGUGUUAUACGAAAACAAUGGAUCGUGGAUCACCACAUCAAAAAAAAUAAAAUAAUUUGCAAGAAGCAAAA